RNAcentral lists this transfer RNA (76 nucleotides) under Blautia sp. AM42-2. Its description in RNAcentral is "tRNA-Lys". It matches the Rfam family "tRNA". From Rfam's summary of the family: Transfer RNA (tRNA) molecules are approximately 80 nucleotides in length. Their secondary structure includes four short double-helical elements and three loops (D, anti-codon, and T loops). Further hydrogen bonds mediate the characteristic L-shaped molecular structure. tRNAs have two regions of fundamental functional importance: the anti-codon, which is responsible for specific mRNA codon recognition, and the 3' end, to which the tRNAs corresponding amino acid is attached (by aminoacyl-tRNA synthetases). tRNAs cope with the degeneracy of the genetic code in two manners: having more than one tRNA (with a specific anti-codon) for a particular amino acid; and 'wobble' base-pairing, i.e. permitting non-standard base-pairing at the 3rd anti-codon position. The record is from RNAcentral. Lineage: Bacteria; Bacillati; Bacillota; Clostridia; Lachnospirales; Lachnospiraceae.
GCGCCUUUAGCUCAGUUGGUAGAGCAGUAGACUCUUAAUCUAUUUGUCCAGGGUUCGAGUCCCUGAAGGCGCAUCA